RNAcentral lists this long non-coding RNA (882 nucleotides) under Rattus norvegicus (Norway rat). RNAcentral describes it as "long non-coding RNA NONRATT014463". Lineage: Eukaryota; Metazoa; Chordata; Mammalia; Rodentia; Muridae. The record is from RNAcentral.
GAGCCUGGGGUCUCGGCCACCGCUUCCACUCCGAGAUCCAGGAGUAGAUACAGACUUUUCUACCACAUACCCUGACCCUCUCCACCAGAGGAGGCGAGUGGAGCUGCGGGGUGGCUCAACCUCAAGCUGAAAGGACCUGGUUCGAGCCCCAUCUCCCCCACUCCCUGGUUGUGUUACUAGAACAGGUAGUUUAACACUCUGAAUUUUGGUUUUUCUCCCCUGUACAACAGCAUUCCCAUCUCUGAGUGCUGCAGAGAGUCACCCAAAUGGGCGCGUGCGCUGUUCAGUCUAGAGCCUGGCACGUAAGACAGCAGUACUUCAUCCUCCUCAUCAUCACUGACGGGGUCAUCAGUGACAUGGAGGAGACACGGCACGCCGUAGUGCAGGCCUCCAAGCUGCCCAUGUCCAUUAUCAUUGUGGGUGUGGGCAAUGCUGACUUUGCAGCCAUGGAGUUUCUAGAUGGGGAUGAGCCCCCAGCCUCCCCAGGAACAUGCACGUUCACCCUGCUUCCUCGUGGGUGGCCUUUUUUUUUUUUUUAAACCAGUCCACAUUUUUAUUUUUUACAACUGGACCUCCACCCCAACUUCCCCAGCCCAUAUGGGCUCCCUUUGUCAGAGUCAAUGAUGAUGCUUCCAGGACAAAACAACUCCCUCACCCCGCCCUCCUGCCACUCUAAGUAUUGAAUGUACUUUGUAUAAUUUUAGUGGAAUUAUUGUUAUCAAAGAGAAUAAAAUUUUUACAAUCGUAACCGGCUUUUUCUAAGUAACUAGCUGCAAGAAGGAAUGUAUCCCUACUGUGUACUUUGUAUGGUGGUCUGCUGUUUUUAUACUGUGACUAUGUUCUACUUGUCAAACUCAGGGUAAUAAAGGAGUUUCAGAUGUU